AGAGCAGAAGGAAGAACCACGGUAUUAAACUCAUCUGUUCUUAUGAUUCUGAUAGUCUUGCUUCGCUGUUCCAUGUGUGGUCAUGUUCAUUCACUAAUGCUGUCGAUCAGUUAUGUCAGUCAAAUCUCUGACAGUGUUGCAUUGUGAGCAUUAAGGCAAAGUGUGCGGGGUUUUGGUCUGACGGGAACAUCUCUAAAAUCUGUAGAAGUCUUGGGUUUAAAGUUUAUCUGAGGUCAUCCCUUCUCUACUUUUGAAUCAAAAUGGAAAGCUUUCAUGUGUUCAUCAGCCUUUGAAUGGAUGUCUCUUCUGCUGCACCUUCUCCGCUUUAACUGCUCAACCUUUAACUUUGUCUUUUUUAUGAUUUUUAAAGGGCGAGUGGGCAGUUGUGGCUUUCUUUUAGCAACUAGUGACUGUUUAUAGAACCAAAAGCAAAAUUGAUCUCGCUGUGCGUUUGUCUUUUUACCACCGUAGUCUAACAGCUGAAAUGUCUCCCCAGCCUUCAUUAGUGUCUGCAGGAGUGAUUCACAACUAAAUUAAACAAAGCAGCUGAGUUCAUGACCUAAAACAUGCAGGAAGCAGACUGCAGCACCAACAGAGCGGUCUGCCACUCUGAAGUUGCAAGUGGAAUUUUCGGGCCACUGGGCGAUAGGGGCUGGGUGGCUUUUCUUAGCACGCACUGGCUCAAGAAAACGAUUUAAAAAUAUGAAAAAGUUGCAAAGUAUCCCUUUAAAUCUGAACUUAAUGUGUGUGUUUAAUUUGGUCUAAAUGUAUUUGUGUAUUUUCAUUGUGCUGUCACAUUGAUUUUAAUGUUCAUGCUAUUCUCACUAAUGGAAAACACACUGAAUGAAGUGUGCUAUUCAAACACAGCUGCCUUGCCUUGCCUAAAGUUUUGCAUGACAUAUUUCUCAAUCUUUUGCUCACUUUGUGAAAAUUUCAUCAUAUUUGUGCUGUUUUAUUUACUUUUUCUCCAAAUGACACCUGUUAAAAAAGACUAACAUGAUGAUCUCUCCCAUCUCACCCAACAUGCCUGUUCCACAUCCCAAAGCAGCAAACAGGAUGUACCAACUAGGAGACCCAUCGGCUCAGCCACAGUUGUAGCUGUCAUCCAGCUACUUGGCUGUCGAGCAAAUAUGUGUCCUCAAACCACAUUUCAACUCUGUGGAAGCUGCUGACACUCUGAGUUUGUGCGGAAUACACUUGAUCUACAACGGAAGACGCAAACAAAUAAAAAGCCGGCCAAACGUUUUGAGUCAGUAAACUCCAUGACCUUCCAUACAAGGGAUAAAGCACUGAGACAAGAUGUCCAGCCUGAAGGUUUUAAUGUUGGGAGAAGUCAGCCAGAGACUUUAAUAAUCAUUAAGAGUUAUCAAACCCUUGUUUAACUACUUUGGCACCCCACCUUUUAGUCCAUUUAUCUUACUGAAGGAGGCACUGAACGUAGUGAAUAAAAAAUCAUGGCAUUGCAUUACUUUCCAACCCAUAUGUUCCCAGUUUAGGAAAGAUGAUUCGAAAGUGCUAGUGCCACGUUUGAUGUUCCGGUGGGUCAAAAAAAACGUGCUUUUUCCUAUUUUUUAAAAAUUCAACAUUUUGUAUAUUGAUUUGUUUUAUUUUAUCUCCACAUAACAGAUCCAAAAUAGGCAUACUAGUGAGAAUCUGAACAAUGAAAUGUUCGAAACUGUUGAUACACAUCAGCAGCUUACUGGGGAGCCAUAACUCGUGAUUUUAGAAAUGCAACUGAAGGCCACGCAAAAUCAGAAGGAGCCCCUGAGCUUCACUUUGGACACUCCUGAACUACAGGAUUAAAGUGACAGUGUGUAUUUUUCCUGGUGAUACGGGGCAGUAGACACUUAAAUCGUUGCAAGCAAGCAGUAUUUUUCUGUUGGCGUAAGACCUUACCAGUGGAUGCCCAUGAGGGUCAAAAAGCCCUAGGGAGUGCAAACUUCUGCAACAUAACAAGUACAUCAGACUCCCUUUCAUCACUGGCAACAAGUGGAGGUAAAUGUGUAAAACAACAACAUUUAAGAAUGGCGAAAGUUUUGGAACCGUUACAAAUCAUUUAGAGCUGAAACAACUAAUCGAUUUAAUCGAUUAUAAUCGAUUAUUAAAAUAGUUAACAACUUUUUUAGUCAUCGAUUAGUUGUUUAAUAAUCAUAUUUUACCGCAUAAAGUCUAUUUUUACCACAAUCUGACAUCGGUUACAAGCUGUUAAAUUUGCCGCCAGUGUGUGGCAGUAAUGAGCCACUGAUCUACCAGUGGAGCCGUAGAAGAAGAAAUGAGCCAAUGAGUGCCCUCGGUUUUCAUGACGUAUCACGUUACUGACGCUCAUCUUGCUGUGAGAGAUGGCGGAACAAGAGGAAAUACAGAAGAAAAAUAGAAGCGACAAAACUGAAGAGAAACCCCGGACAAAAACCUCACGAGUAUGGGAGCACUUCACUCUAGAUGCCUUGAAAAGACGGGUGACCUGCAAAAUAUGCAAAAACCAUCUAGCAUGGCACAGAAGCACGACGUCCCUAAGUGAACAUUUGAGACAAAAGCAUGUGGGGGCUGAUACAGCAGAGGAAGCGCACCGCGGUCAAGUGAGCCGUCAUUUGGAAGAGCCAGCCCGAAAAAAAACAAGCAACGAUGGACAACUACAUGGGGAACAAGACACUCACCCCCCAGCAAUUCAUACCACUUACAAACUCUAUUCUAAACAUGCUGGUAAAAGACAUGAGGCCACUAUCCAUGGUGGAAGGAGCAGGCUUCCAGCUAAUGCUAAAAAAUUAUUCUGGACUGAUAUUUUGCACUGUUUAGCUCAUUUUAUACUGCUGACUGUGUUCAUGUGCAAUAAAAUAGAUUGCAGUCAACU
Non-coding RNA from Nothobranchius furzeri (turquoise killifish), 2848 nucleotides. The record is from RefSeq and is a predicted model, not a curated record. Lineage: Eukaryota; Metazoa; Chordata; Actinopteri; Cyprinodontiformes; Nothobranchiidae.